CGUAGGGUCCAAGCGUUGUCCGGAUUUACUGGGCGUAAAGAGCGCGUAGGCGGCUCGUUAAGUGUGGUGUGAAAUCUCCAGGGCUCAACCCGGAAACUGCACCGCAUACUGGCGAGCUUGAGGAAUGCAGAGGUAACUGGAAUUCCUGGUGUAGCGGUGAAAUGCGUUGAUAUCAGGAGGAACACCCAUGGCGAAGGCAGGUUACUGGGCAUUAUCUGACGCUGAGGCGCGAAAGCGUGGGUAGCAAACAGGAUUAGAUACCCUGGUAGUCCACGCCCUAAACGAUGGAUACUAGGCGUAAGAGGUAUCGACCCCUCUUGUGCCGCAGCUAACGCACUAAGUAUCCCGCCUGGGGAGUACGGCCGCAGGGUUG
This 373-nucleotide ribosomal RNA is filed under the name uncultured organism. RNAcentral's name for it is "bacterial SSU rRNA". It matches the Rfam family "Bacterial small subunit ribosomal RNA", at positions 526 to 896 of the family's 1533-position model. The record is from RNAcentral.